This 468-nucleotide ribosomal RNA is filed under the name uncultured bacterium. RNAcentral's name for it is "partial 16S ribosomal RNA". It matches the Rfam family "Bacterial small subunit ribosomal RNA", at positions 28 to 507 of the family's 1533-position model. The record is from RNAcentral.
GAUGAACGCUGGCGGCGUGCUUAACACAUGCAAGUCGAACGGAGAGGCCGAAGCUUGCUUCGGUACUCGAGUGGCGAACGGGUGAGUAACACGUGGGUGAUCUGCCCUGUACUUCGGGAUAGGCUUGGGAAACUGGGUCUAAUACCGGAUAUGACGAUCUCUUGGAUGGGGUUGUGGAAAGCUUUUGCGGUAUGGGAUGAGCUCGCGGCCUAUCAGCUUGUUGGUGGGGUAAUGGCCUACCAAGGCGUCGACGGGUAGCCGGCCUGAGAGGGUGUACGGCCACAUUGGGACGGAGAUACGGCCCAGACUCCUACGGGAGGCAGCAGUGGGGAAUAUUGCACAAUGGGCGCAAGCCUGAUGCAGCGACGCCGCGUGGGGGAUGACGGCCUUCGGGUUGUAAACUCCUUUCGCAAUCGACGAAGCCUUUUGGUGACGGUAGGUUGAGAAGAAGCACCGGCUAACUACGUG